This 253-nucleotide ribosomal RNA is filed under the name uncultured bacterium. RNAcentral describes it as "partial 16S ribosomal RNA". It matches the Rfam family "Bacterial small subunit ribosomal RNA", at positions 524 to 776 of the family's 1533-position model. The record is from RNAcentral.
UACGGAGGGGGCGAGCGUUGUCCGAAGUUACUGGGCGUAAAGCGCGCGUAGGCGGCACGUUAAGUCCGGUCUGAAAGCCCCCGGCUCAACCGGGGAGGGUGGCUGGAAACUGGCGUUCUUGAGGGCGAGAGAGGAGGGUGGAAUUCCUGGUGUAGCGGUGAAAUGCGUAGAGAUCAGGAGGAACACCCGGGGCGAAGGCGGCCCUCUGGCUCGACCCUGACGCUGAGGCGCGAAAGCGUGGGGAGCGAACGGG